UACGUAGGAGGCGAGCGUUGUCCGGAGUUACUGGGCGUAAAGCGCACGCAGGCGGUCAGAUCAGUCUGGAGUGACAGUCGUCGGCUUAACCGACGAAGUGUUCUGGAAACUGUCUGACUUGAGGGCUUCAGAGGGACACGGAAUUCCGGGUGGAAGUGGUGAAAUGCGUAGAUAUCCGGAGGAACACCAGUGGCGAAGGCGGGUCUCUGGACAGUUCC
RNAcentral lists this ribosomal RNA (218 nucleotides) under uncultured bacterium. RNAcentral describes it as "partial 16S ribosomal RNA". It matches the Rfam family "Bacterial small subunit ribosomal RNA", at positions 524 to 740 of the family's 1533-position model. The record is from RNAcentral.